RNAcentral lists this ribosomal RNA (434 nucleotides) under uncultured bacterium. RNAcentral describes it as "bacterial SSU rRNA". It matches the Rfam family "Bacterial small subunit ribosomal RNA", at positions 355 to 787 of the family's 1533-position model. The record is from RNAcentral.
UGGGGAAUAUUGCACAAUGGGGGAGACCCUGAUGCAGCGACGCCGCGUGAGUGAAGAAGUAUUUCGGUAUGUAAAGCUCUAUCAGCAGGGAAGACAACCGCCCUCAGGGGCGGCCACGACGGUACCUGACUAAGAAGCCCCGGCUAACUACGUGCCAGCAGCCGCGGUAAUACGUAGGGGGCAAGCGUUAUCCGGAUUUACUGGGUGUAAAGGGAGCGUAGGUGGCAAGGCAAGUCAGAUGUGAAAUCCCGGGGCUCAACCCCGGUACUGCAUUUGAAACUGUCUGGCUAGAGUGCAGGAGAGGUAAGCGGAAUUCCUAGUGUAGCGGUGAAAUGCGUAGAUAUUAGGAGGAACACCAGUGGCGAAGGCGGCUUACUGGACUGUAACUGACACUGAGGCUCGAAAGCGUGGGGAGCAAACAGGAUUAGAUACCC